RNAcentral lists this ribosomal RNA (465 nucleotides) under Vreelandella stevensii. RNAcentral's name for it is "partial 16S ribosomal RNA". It matches the Rfam family "Bacterial small subunit ribosomal RNA", at positions 338 to 795 of the family's 1533-position model. Lineage: Bacteria; Pseudomonadati; Pseudomonadota; Gammaproteobacteria; Oceanospirillales; Halomonadaceae. The record is from RNAcentral.
CCUACGGGGGGCAGCAGUGGGGAAUAUUGGACAAUGGGCGAAAGCCUGAUCCAGCCAUGCCGCGUGUGUGAAGAAGGCCUUCGGGUUGUAAAGCACUUUCAGUGGGGAAGAAAGCCUUGGGGCUAAUACCCUCGAGGAAGGACAUCACCCACAGAAGAAGCACCGGCUAACUCCGUGCCAGCAGCCGCGGUAAUACGGAGGGUGCGAGCGUUAAUCGGAAUUACUGGGCGUAAAGCGCGCGUAGGCGGUCUGAUAAGCCGGUUGUGAAAGCCCCGGGCUCAACCUGGGAACGGCAUCCGGAACUGUCAGGCUAGAGUGCAGGAGAGGAAGGUAGAAGUCCCGGUGUAGCGGUGAAAUGCGUAGAGAUCGGGAGGAAUACCAGUGGCGAAGGCGGCCUUCUGGACUGACACUGACGCUGAGGUGCGAAAGCGUGGGUAGCAAACAGGAUUAGAUACCCCAGUAGUC